CCUACGGGAGGCAGCAGUGAGGAAUAUUGGUCAAUGGACGAGAGUCUGAACCAGCCAAGUAGCGUGAAGGAUGACUGCCCUAUGGGUUGUAAACUUCUUUUAUAUGGGAAUAAAAUGUUCCACGUGUGGGAUUUUGUAUGUACCAUAUGAAUAAGGAUCGGCUAACUCCGUGCCAGCAGCCGCGGUAAUACGGAGGAUCCGAGCGUUAUCCGGAUUUAUUGGGUUUAAAGGGAGCGUAGGUGGAUUGUUAAGUCAGUUGUGAAAGUUUGUGGCUCAACCGUAAAAUUGCAGUUGAAACUGGCAGUCUUGAGUACAGUAGAGGUAGGCGGAAUGCGUGGUGUAGCGGUGAAAUGCUUAGAUAUCACGAAGAACUCCGAUUGCGAAGGCAGUUCACUGGACUGCAACUGACACUGAGGCACGAAAGUGUGGGUAUCAAACAGGAUUAGAUACCCCAGUAGUC
This 460-nucleotide ribosomal RNA is filed under the name uncultured bacterium. RNAcentral's name for it is "partial 16S ribosomal RNA". It matches the Rfam family "Bacterial small subunit ribosomal RNA", at positions 338 to 795 of the family's 1533-position model. The record is from RNAcentral.